Anopheles merus is the source of this 3698-nucleotide long non-coding RNA. RefSeq lists it as uncharacterized. The transcript is spliced from 7 exons. The record is from RefSeq and is a predicted model, not a curated record. NCBI's taxonomy places the organism in Eukaryota, Metazoa, Arthropoda, Insecta, Diptera, Culicidae.
CAUUUGGGGCUUGAACCCAUGACGGGCAUGUUGUUAAGUCGUACGAGUUGACGACUGUACUACGAGACCGGCUUAUCGUUUACCAGGAGAAAAAGAUUGGAGGUUAGAUACGUGCAGCUAUUUCGCCUCCGCAGGAAGUGUUCUUCAGGAGUAUUCCAAGCUGUCCGAAGACACACAAGUCCGAUUCACCUCGUAUGCACCCAGCGGAUUUCAUGCGAAGGAUAUUGAAAAGCCAUCAAAGAAGUGGGCAUGAUGCUACACCGUGCAAGAAAAGUCCUAUUAACCAUCACGUCUAAAGCCUCCUUUUGUUGGCAUCCUGGCUGCUGAUAUCCGCAUCUAUUAUUUAAGUAUAACUGCAAAAUGCAAAAUCAUCUCCAGCUAUUUUUGCUAAAAAUGCAUCAAACUGUUGUUCAUUUCCGAUUUUUUUAAUUGCUAAACUCUCCGCUUUUCUUCUUAUACUCUUCAUAGGAUUCAGUAUUGUUGACUGCUCAUUUUAAAUCACCAUUAUCUGUGCGCUGCGUGCAUCUAUUUUCAUCAACAGCAUCCGACAACGAAGGCAGCAGCUUCCAGAAUACUCUGUAGAAGUAAAUGAAAGGACUGCUUGAUUUGCUCUUGCUGCAGCCUGGUGUUCAUCGUCGGUGAUCAUCAUUAUUGCAGCCGCUAUCACCGAUGCAGAAGCACUGGUGGGUAAAUGUUGUCUUACAACAGCGGUCAUCAUACCACGCUGAUUCUUCGGAGCAUGAACUUCGGCAAGCGAUGCAAUCGAUGGUACUGCAGAUCCCGUCAAUGCCUGUUGCCUACCGAUCUUCAUGCCUGAUUCCUGCGGUAGAGCAUCAGCAACCGGUACCACUGAUGGCGCAGCUGUAUUAGUUGACGGUUGCUGUCCACGUUGCUGGCCUAACGGACGGAAUGGUGCAGGAACACCAGGUAAUGUUGACCGAUGAUGAUUAUUAUCACCGGCAUUCGAGACCAGCGCUGACACUGCAUCCGUUACCUUGAGCUGUUCAACAACACGGACUGGCAUUCUUUGUUGACUCGCGCUGACCGACCACUGAAUCCACCGAUGGCACUGCACUUGUUGUCGGAAGUUGUCGAACAACACGGACCGGCAAUCUGGGAGGACAGAUGCCACGUGGAAUGGCAACCGGAACCACCGAUGGCACUGCACUUGUCGAGGGAAGUUGUCCAACAACACGGACUGGUACAUCUGACUGACGAAACGAUUACACAUCCGCAAUGGCCGAAGGCAUCAAUUGUAAAGAAAGUGGCACUUGAGACUCUUCCCCAACUUCCUUUUAUACUGCAUUUCGAGUUGCCGGUGCGCAGACUUAUGAAUGAGUGGGAGGAGUCUAAGGACUUGUGAAGAAGGAAUAGGAUAUGGUGCGGUGUUGAUGAUUAUUGUGCCUGUUGCUUGUACUACCGAAUGUCGCCAAGCUACUCAUCACAUACCCGCGUUUUAUGUACCCAUUCUUGGUGUUUCCGUGUUACUCGCCAUCGCGCUGUAGUUGGAUCAUACUGCACCUGUCCUGAUUCGAUUAAUGUCACCGCAAAGACAAAAUUAGAGCACGCGUUCGUAUUCCUAAUCCUUCGGCACCGUCUGGAGAAUGUGAGAGUCACUGCUCUAUAAAAACCACCGGACUACCACAAACUGGAAACAGCGGAAAACCCCGUGGGUCACCGGGCACCAACAUGCAUAUCGGCUGAAACUUGGAUCCAUGCUAAAUUGAAGCAAAGUUGAACUAAUAUGCCGUGCGAAAAAGCAAAAUAAUUAUUUCAUUUUAAUGUUUAUUAAGCUAAACCGUCAUUAUAUUUUUCAUCUAAAACGUUAUUGAUGUGUAUUUUCUAAUCGCGUUUAGGCGUCGUGUAUCAGAUCGCAACUGCUAAUAAUUUCGUCGUGUGAGGCGGACUGUUAUGGAUGUAUCAAAUCUUCAGUGAUGAUGAAUGCGUUCAUGCAUCUACGAGCCGGUAACUGGCGGUAUCCAGAUCAUUGUCGUUUUGUUAGCUUACCUAAGCUACCGAAAUUAGCGACAGUGUAAAAUCUGUGCUGUGAGAAUUACAGCUGCCGUACGAAGCGCAGCAUAUUGGAGCAAGUCCAAUCGGACAGCAACCACCUGGAGCAAACGUACGCCGGACGAAUGGACGUGGUAGAGGCGUUAUGAUUGGAAGGCGAUAUUUGCGCUCUGAAAAUGCUAGCACAGAUGUUUGGGCCACAGAGUUUCAGAUAAACUGUUCUCAUCAAUGCCACACCAUGUACGGUCAGUUAGUUACACUUCAUCACGAAGGACAAUCACAUCUGGGUAACGGAAUGCUGCCAAAACGAUGCUUUAAAUCCUUUUGUUGAAGACAUCAACAAAGUCCAAGACGAUGGAAUAAUGAUAAAUGGAAAAAAAUAAAAGUAAAACUACGAGCAAUUAUCGCAGAUUCUCCGGCUCGUGCGUUUAUUAAAGGAGUAGCUUAUUUCAAUGCCAAGCAUGGUUGUUUAAAAUGUACAUGCCAUGGAGAAUUUAGUGAGCUAUCAAAAACAGUGGUGUUUAAUGAUUUACAUGCACCAAAAAGAAUUGAUAGGCUGUUUCGCAGAAGGAAGUACGGAAAACAUCAUAAAUAUGAUUCGCCUCUAUUACGCAUAAAGAAUUUAAACAUCAUAGACGCUAUAAUAAUAUCAGAUACUCUACAUCUCAUUGAAUUCGGCGUUUUGCGCAAACUUUUAAAUGGUUGGAAAGAUCAAACCCUAGGACUAAAAACAAAUUGGUCAAAUGUAGGUCAUAUAAUAUCAGACAUGCUUAGGAAAAUGAAACUUCCUUCAGAAAUUCGAAGGAAAAUGAGAGGUAUAGAUUGUCUUUCACAUUGGAAAGCCUCAGAAUUUUACACGUUCCUUCGGUACACAAGCAUUCCAAUAUUGAGGAAAUUUCUUGCAGCUCAUGCUUUCAAACACUUCUUGUUAUUGUUUUCCGCAAUUACCAUAUUGAGCAGCAAAUAUCACUAUUCGAAAUGGAAAUCAGCUAAUACAAUGCUAGAAACGUUUGUUUUAGAUUUUCAAACAAUUUAUGGAAAACAAUUUGUAACGAGCAAUAUACAUAAUUUAUUUCAUGUUUAUGACGAUGUACAUAAUUUUGGCCCUUUAAACACUAUAUCGACCUAUCUUUUCGAAAAUGCACUACAACUUUUAAAGAAAAUGCUUAAAGGCCGCAGCAACGAUUUAGAACAAGUUAUCAAUCGAAUAUCAGAGAAUAUCGAAUAUGUAUAUUGAUACAAUUUGAGUCAUUAGAUAAACACGAGAAAACGAAUUAUCCAAGGCUAGGAAAAAAGAAAAAUCAAACUAUGUUGCAUUUGAGAAAAGACUUCGUCCUAUGCAAGGAAUUCAAAGACCAGUGGUUUUUAAGUAAGGACCAUAGUGUUUAUAAAUUUUCAGGCGCCAUUGAACAGAAUUCCGAAAUAACCAUUUUUGCACAAAACAUGGCUGUUGUAGAAGAAGCAUUUGAUUCUCCAUGCUCCUCCUUAGAUUUACUUAUAUAUGAAGGGAGCAUAAAAGAUUUAGCAAUAGGAACAGUUACGCUUAAAGCAAGUGAUGUUAUGUGCAAAUUAGUAGCAGCAGGAACAGACAACCCAAACACUUUUAUCUUCAGCCCACUUCUCCAUACUCUUAUCGGAUAAUAGAUCCUAUUUUGAAUUAAGUUAACAUCACUACUUGUUUGAUAAGA